GGGGAGCCUCGUGCGCGCGCGGCGGGGCCCGGCGCGGCCGCUGCCUCCCCGACCCCCCCGCCGGCUGGGCAGCCCUGGAAGUCCCUGGAAAUCCCUGCCGAAUCCUGUGUCGCCGCCGCCCACUUGUCUCCCGUGGGCGGCUGAGGAUGGAAAACACCGUGCUGUCGCGCGGGAGGGCCGAGCCGCGGGGGGCGGAGCGGCGGCAGGGGACGUGCGGCUGCGCCGGAGGCCCGGAUUGAACAACAUGCGCAAGUAGACGUGGAUAUCCAGUUAGGAAGAUCAUUCUGCCAUCUCUCUUCAGAGCUGAGAAGAAGCUUCAUCAUCCAGGUCUAGCAGAAAACUCUAUUCAAGCAUGUACAGUUCUCCAGAUCUGCUCUAACUCCUGUCAUCCAUUGUCAAAACAAAAGUAAGGUGAAUGAAAAGACGCUGUGUGCAAAGGCACAGAAACAAAUUCUAAUGUAGCUGUUUUAAUUAUGGAUAUUUAUUGUUCUGUGGGUUACUUGCCAUUCAUUUUCCCUGCUGACAAACAUCUGAAGACGUGUUUUGAAUGUCACUUGACUUCUUCAACCACAUUUGUCAUACUAGUAUCUAUUUAUAUAGAGAUUCAGUCAGCUUGAGAAAAAAUUAGAAGAUGGUGGCCCUGAGAUCUAAAGAAUCAGAAUCUUCUUUGCUGGAAGUUACUUCUGCCUGAGUUUUUAAACUGAUGCUUUCUGAAGGCCAGGAAAUCGAAUAAAAAAAAAAAUAAAAGCAGGAUGUAAUGUUGUGUCUGCAUGUAGUCCAGAAAGCCCAUGUAAAAAAAUUCUCCAGUACAGCAGUGAAAGAGAGAUGAACAAAUGUGGAAUAGGUUAUAAUCAAAAAGCCAUGGAAAUAUAAAUAGAUAACCAGAUCCAUAAAGCUAAGGUCUACCACAUCUUCAUGUCACUAUCAGGAUGACUAACUUUGGGAUUGAUGAGCCAGAUUGGUUUCAGCAGUAUUCAACACCAAAAGCAGCAUGACAACCCCUUCUUCAUUUACUACUGGAGCUUCUUCAUCUGCUCUCCCUGGGGAAAAAAAAAUCAUGCUGACAAAGACUUCUUUUGAAAAGCUGGAAGAGGAACAUUUGCUGUGAUAUAUUGAUCCUUUGGAAGCAGCUGAUAGUGGCGAAGCCCACUCCAUCACCUAGGAGUCUGACAAUCCUGGUAACAGGCUGGCCAAACGGCGUGAACCUGAUUUUUGCAUUGCUUACAUCCCUGUGCUAGCAGCUGUUAUCAUAGUAUUAGCCUUCUGUAGUCCUCAUGUAACCUCUUGAAACUUAUAUGGGCUCCAUGCUCUGAGACUACCUGCCAAAUAUUUAAAAAAAGAAUCAUCAUUA
This is a long non-coding RNA of Manacus vitellinus (golden-collared manakin), 1351 nucleotides long. RefSeq lists it as uncharacterized. The record is from RefSeq and is a predicted model, not a curated record. NCBI's taxonomy places the organism in Eukaryota, Metazoa, Chordata, Aves, Passeriformes, Pipridae. The transcript is spliced from 5 exons.